UACGUAGGAGGCAAGCGUUGUCCGGAAUCACUGGGCGUAAAGGGCGCGUAGGCGGCUCGUGAAGUCGGGUGUGAAAGCCCGGGGCUCAACCCCGGAACGGCAUCCGAUACUGGCGGGCUUGAGACCGGAAGAGGUAAGUGGAACUGCGAGUGUAGAGGUGAAAUUCGUAGAUAUUCGCAAGAACACCAGUGGCGAAGGCGGCUUACUGGUCCGGUUCUGACGCUGAGGCGCGAAAGCGUGGGGAGCAAACAGG
This 253-nucleotide ribosomal RNA is filed under the name uncultured bacterium. RNAcentral describes it as "partial 16S ribosomal RNA". It matches the Rfam family "Bacterial small subunit ribosomal RNA", at positions 524 to 776 of the family's 1533-position model. The record is from RNAcentral.